GAUGAACGCUGGCGGCGUGCCUAAUACAUGCAAGUCGAGCGAACAGACGAGGAGCUUGCUCCUUUGACGUUAGCGGCGGACGGGUGAGUAACACGUAGGUAACCUACCUAUAAGACUGGGAUAACUUCGGGAAACCGGAGCUAAUACCGGAUAAUAUUUCGAACCGCAUGGUUCGAUAGUGAAAGAUGGCUUUGCUAUCACUUAUAGAUGGACCUGCGCCGUAUUAGCUAGUUGGUAAGGUAACGGCUUACCAAGGCAACGAUACGUAGCCGACCUGAGAGGGUGAUCGGCCACACGGGAACUGAGACACGGUCCAGACUCCUACGGGAGGCAGCAGUAGGGAAUCUUCCGCAAUGGGCGAAAGCCUGACGGAGCAACGCCGCGUGAGUGAUGAAGGUCUUCGGAGCGUAAAACUCUGUUAUUAGGGAAGAACAAACGUGUAAGUAACUGUGCACGGCUUGACGGUACCUAAUCAGAAAGCCACGGCUAACUACGUG
Molecule: ribosomal RNA, 497 nt
Filed under: uncultured bacterium
Lineage: Bacteria
Description: partial 16S ribosomal RNA
Rfam family: Bacterial small subunit ribosomal RNA
Source: RNAcentral